UGAUUGUACUAAAACACACACAAAAACCAAAACUGUUCCAUUGUACCAGAACGUUGGUAUUUCAAUAGUUGGUAAUAUUAUGACAUCUAUAUUUAUUUAUUCAUUUAAUUGUCAACGAUACCUCUCCUGUUUACACAUAUGGAGAGCAUCCACAAUCGGAGAAAAAGGUCUUCAGACCAAGAAGUAAGGGUCCCAUAGUUGAGUACUGACGCGGGCCAACUGGGAAAAAUCUGGAUUUUUCGAUAGAAUUAUUCGUCACUGCAGACGUUGUUGUUCAUUUAAUAUUAUGUAGUUUAAAUACAUUUUUUUACGUAUUCAU
Non-coding RNA from Cinara cedri, 319 nucleotides. The record is from the annotation of a GenBank genome assembly. Lineage: Eukaryota; Metazoa; Arthropoda; Insecta; Hemiptera; Aphididae.